UACAUCUACUUAUAUGAUUUAUACAUAAGUACAUAUUUACAAAUAAACCUAAGUGCAUCGUCGAACUCAUACAAAUGCCCCGAUAUACAUACAUAUAUACAUAUGUGUGACCAAUGAUCCAACAAAUCGAUCCAACUUUUCACAAUGGUUUCCAGUACGUGUUCCAUCUCUUUCACGCAUUUGCCUGAAAGCAAAUCCAUGGCGGCCAUAACCAUGCGAAAUUCGGUAUUUCACAACUUCAAAUUUCGGCAAUGAUGAAAUUGUGUUGUAUAAGUCCAAAGACAUGUCAGCAAUGGAACCAGUACUACUAAAACGGUUCAUAGUUCACUUUUGGGAAAAAGUAUAAACGAAAAAGAGUUUCACCAUGAGGUUUACACGGAUUGAGCCCAAUCUUGUUGCUUUGGCCGAGAAAUAUAAUGUGAAUAAAAUGAUCUGCCGCAAAUGUUAUGCUCGCCUGCCGCCGAGGGCCACCAAUUGUCGGAAGAAGGACUGCCAUUCUAGCGAUCUGCGUCCUAAAAAGAUAUUGAAGGAUUACAAAUAAAUGCUUAGAUAUACUGUGGCCAAAACUACCUCUCUAUAUUUAUGAAAUGAUAUACAUAUGUACAUAUGUACAUGUAUAGAUAUGUGUAAAUAUCAUGUGUAAAAUUUGAUUGUAAAUCAUACUACCGUAGAUACCACUGGAGGUAUUUUUUUACUUUUUUAAUAAAAUCUUUUAAAAUAA
Long non-coding RNA from Bactrocera tryoni, 721 nucleotides. RefSeq lists it as uncharacterized. The record is from RefSeq and is a predicted model, not a curated record. Lineage: Eukaryota; Metazoa; Arthropoda; Insecta; Diptera; Tephritidae. The transcript is spliced from 2 exons.